CCCUUAGAUGUUCUGGGCCGCACGCGCGCUACACUGAUGCAUUCAACGAGUCUAAAACCUGCUCUGAUAGGGGUGGGUAAUCUUUUGAAUGUGCAUCGUGAUUGGGGUAGAUGAUUGCAAUUUUUCAUCUUCAACGAGGAAUGCCUAGUAAACGCAAGUCAUCAGCUUGCAUUGAUUACGUCCCUGCCCUUUGUACACACCGCCCGUCGCUCCUACCGAUUGAAUGAUCCGAUGAAUAUCAUGGAUUGAGGAUGUAAGCAGGUUCGCCUGUCUUCAUCUUCGAGAAGUGAAGUAAAUCUUAUCAUUUAGAGGAAGGAGAAGUCGUAACA
This 329-nucleotide ribosomal RNA is filed under the name uncultured eukaryote. Its description in RNAcentral is "partial 18S ribosomal RNA". It matches the Rfam family "Eukaryotic small subunit ribosomal RNA", at positions 1470 to 1796 of the family's 1831-position model. The record is from RNAcentral.